Molecule: ribosomal RNA, 110 nt
Filed under: Pseudokeronopsis carnea
Lineage: Eukaryota; Ciliophora; Spirotrichea; Urostylida; Pseudokeronopsidae
Description: 5.8S ribosomal RNA
Rfam family: 5.8S ribosomal RNA
About the family: 5.8S ribosomal RNA (5.8S rRNA) is a component of the large subunit of the eukaryotic ribosome. It is transcribed by RNA polymerase I as part of the 45S precursor that also contains 18S and 28S rRNA. Functionally, it is thought that 5.8S rRNA may be involved in ribosome translocation.
Source: RNAcentral
UAAAUUCUCAACGAUGGAUAUCUAGGUUCCCAUAACGAUGAAGAACGCAGCGAAGUGCGAUAAGCAAUGCGAAUUGCAGAACCGUGAGUCAUCAGAUUUUUGAACGCAAU